Molecule: ribosomal RNA, 253 nt
Filed under: uncultured bacterium
Lineage: Bacteria
Description: partial 16S ribosomal RNA
Rfam family: Bacterial small subunit ribosomal RNA
Source: RNAcentral
UACGUAGGGGGCAAGCGUUGUCCGGAUUUAUUGGGCGUAAAGAGCGUGUAGGCGGCCAUACAGGUCAGCUGUGAAAACUCGGGGCUUAACCCCGGGCCUGCAGUGGGUACGGGCAGACUAGAGUUCGGUAGGGGAGUCUGGAAUUCCUGGUGUAGCGGUGAAAUGCGCAGAUAUCAGGAGGAACACCGGUGGCGAAGGCGGGACUCUGGGCCGAUACUGACGCUGAGGAGCGAAGGCGUGGGGAGCGAACAGG